RNAcentral lists this microRNA (24 nucleotides) under Eisenia fetida (common brandling worm). RNAcentral's name for it is "Efe-Mir-92-o39_5p* (star (passenger))". The record is from RNAcentral. Lineage: Eukaryota; Metazoa; Annelida; Clitellata; Crassiclitellata; Lumbricidae.
AGGUCUGUUUUGGUGCAAACUUGG